RNAcentral lists this ribosomal RNA (774 nucleotides) under uncultured organism. RNAcentral describes it as "bacterial SSU rRNA". It matches the Rfam family "Bacterial small subunit ribosomal RNA", at positions 46 to 812 of the family's 1533-position model. The record is from RNAcentral.
GCUUAACACAUGCAAGUCGAGGGGUACGACUCCGUCUUCGGAUGGAGGUCGACGACCGGCGCACGGGUGAGUAACGCGUAUGCAACCUACCUUUUACAGGAGGAUAGCCCAGAGAAAUUUGGAUUAAUACUCCAUAGUACUAAUGAAUCACCUGGUUUAUUAGUUAAAACUCCGGUGGUAAAAGAUGGGCAUGCGUGUCAUUAGCUAGUUGGUAAGGUAACGGCUUACCAAGGCGAAGAUGACUAGGGGUUCUGAGAGGAAGAUCCCCCACACUGGUACUGAGACACGGACCAGACUCCUACGGGAGGCAGCAGUGAGGAAUAUUGGUCAAUGGGUGAGAGCCUGAACCAGCCAUGCCGCGUGAAGGAAGACUGCCCUAUGGGUUGUAAACUUCUUUUCUGCAGGAAGAAAUCACUCUACGUGUAGGGUGUUGCCGGUACUGCAGGAAUAAGCAUCGGCUAACCCCGUGCCAGCAGCCGCGGUAAUACGGAGGAUGCAAGCGUUAUCCGGAUUUAUUGGGUUUAAAGGGUGCGUAGGCGGGCUUGUAAGUCAGUGGUGAAAUGCUGUGGCUUAACCAUAGAAUUGCCAUUGAAACUGCAAGUCUUGAGUACAGUUGAGGUGGGCGGAAUGAGUAAUGUAGCGGUGAAAUGCAUAGAUAUUACUCAGAACUCCGAUUGCGUAGGCAGCUUGCUAAACUGUAACUGACGCUGAUGCACGAAAGCGUGGGGAGCGAACAGGAUUAGAUACCCUGGUAGUCCACGCUGUAAACGAUGA